GCCGCCGUAGUGUAAUGGCCAGCACAGGGGCCUGUGGAGCCCCUAGACCGGGUUCGAUUCCCGGCGGCGGCCCCA
RNAcentral lists this transfer RNA (75 nucleotides) under Conexivisphaera sp. Its description in RNAcentral is "tRNA-His". It matches the Rfam family "tRNA". Rfam says of the family: Transfer RNA (tRNA) molecules are approximately 80 nucleotides in length. Their secondary structure includes four short double-helical elements and three loops (D, anti-codon, and T loops). The record is from RNAcentral. Lineage: Archaea; Thermoproteati; Nitrososphaerota; Conexivisphaeria; Conexivisphaerales; Conexivisphaeraceae. RNAcentral also lists the same sequence under 1 other name.